Molecule: ribosomal RNA, 253 nt
Filed under: uncultured bacterium
Lineage: Bacteria
Description: partial 16S ribosomal RNA
Rfam family: Bacterial small subunit ribosomal RNA
Source: RNAcentral
UACAGAGGGGGCAAGCGUUGUUCGGAAUUACUGGGCGUAAAGGGCGCGUAGGCGGCCUUCUAAGUCGAACGUGAAAUCCCUGGGCUCAACCCAGGAACUGCGUCCGAUACUGGAAGGCUUGAAUUCGGGAGAGGGAUGCAGAAUUCCAGGUGUAGCGGUGAAAUGCGUAGAUAUCUGGAGGAAUACCGGUGGCGAAGGCGGCAUCCUGGACCGAUAUUGACACUGAUGAGCGAAAGCUAGGGGAGCAAACGGG